GCCUCACUGUCAACAGACCCAGAAAAAACCAGAAUCCUCACUCCCUACCCGAAACCUUACUCUCCCAAACCCUCAUUCUUCUCUCUAUUUCGACAGACCCAAACCAAAACGAAAAUCCUCACUCUCUAACCAAAAGCUCACUCUCCCAAACCCUCAUUCUUCUCCCUAUCUUGACAGACCCAAACCAAAACAAAAAUCCUCACUCUCUAGCCAAAAUCUCACUCUCCCAAACCCUCAUUCUUCUCUCUAACCAAUCUCAUCCCUCUGCGAAUGGGAUUGAGCCGGUGAACUGAGAUUGAACCAAUUUUGCCUCUCGGACCGGUUCCCAUCGCAUCCAGCCUCAGGAACAUGGUUUUCUUAAGUGCAGCAAGAGUUGGAGGCUUAGAUGGAGUAUUGAUACCUUGGGCUUGGGAUUAAAGUAAGGAAAAGAUCUAACCAAACUGGCUAAUACCUUGUCGAGAAGGCAGAUGCUAAAAGUAGACGUAUAUUUUCAUAUGUUAGCAUGUGCCAAGGCUAUACAUGCUUAUUAGAAAAUAUUGAGUCAAUCUGGGAGAAGAUCUUUGAUUAGCAGUAAGUUGCCCUCAGGUAUCAUUAAGUUUAGCUUAAAAGAUGACUUGGUUCAACUGUUUGUUUACAUAAUCCAAGAGAAGAAGAUUAUUAGUAAAACCUGUGACUGUCAUAUUCUUGGAAAUGUCUCAUGAAAGUAUCUUGUGAAGCUGAAAUUGGUGAUGCCUAUAGAACCAAAUCUAUAUAUCAACGUUCAUUUGGUGAUGCCUAUAGAACCAAAUCUAUAUAUCAAUGUUCAUGACUCAAGUCAACAAUCAAGGAUUAUCGAUCAUAUAUCAAUAUUGAUGAUACCUUGAUAUUAUAUAUCUAAAGUAUACCAUUUCUGAGAUUGAUAUUCUCUCUAUCACUUGUAGUCUACUCUAUCACUUGUAGGAUCAACAUGCAAACAAGGAGAACUUUAAGGAGUUGUUAUUGCAACUGGU
This 989-nucleotide long non-coding RNA is filed under the name Rosa chinensis. Its description in RNAcentral is "sRNA RchiOBHm_Chr4g0414781". Lineage: Eukaryota; Viridiplantae; Streptophyta; Magnoliopsida; Rosales; Rosaceae. The record is from RNAcentral.